UUGAACCCCUGACUGGCGAGUUCGACUAACAUUUUUUGCCUUUUUCUUUCGAUGAUUUCUUUUUCACUCGAGGAGCUGUUGUUUGUGAGGACUGUAAAUUUAGUUUUACUCAUACAGUAGCCGCGAUUCCAGCCGAGGAGCGACAAUGGUGGAGCUAAUAUGGUUCAGAGUCCUCUUAACGACUAUCUUGUUUUGGAAGAAAGAAGAAAUGGAAGAGAUGCUUUGAAAGUGAGGCAGCUGACAAGACAGACUUCAGUAAGAAUCCUCAGCGUUAAUCAAGAAAGUCCUCAGCUCACCUCAUCUAGAGUGGGAAUCAUCUUGGAAGAAAGCUUGGUAAUGGAUGAACUGACCAAUCUCAGGCCUUCUAUGUCCAUUGUUUUCAGACUGAUUUCCCUGCCUGCACCUGGACUAUCUUAAGUGUAUGAAAAGCAUUUUAUAUUUUUUUUUUCGGGAAAAGGUGAGCUGACACCUAAAAUUCAGUAUUGCCAAUAGUGUGAACUCAGAGUGGGGAAAAAACAUAUCGUUUUGAUGCUGUUUGUUGCGAUUCUGAGAAAGACUUGUUUGUGUGCUUAACGAUAAGUUAAUUUGUUGAACUAGUAUCUUUUUGAACUUUUUUUUUUUUUUCUCCCAUGUUUUAUGGGGAAAUGUUUUCAGGAUAUGAAAAAAUGGUUUUGUUGUGUUUUCAAUUUAAUAUUUGUAUUUGUAUUGAUUUAAAA
Labeo rohita (rohu) is the source of this 716-nucleotide long non-coding RNA. RefSeq lists it as uncharacterized. The transcript is spliced from 3 exons. The record is from RefSeq and is a predicted model, not a curated record. NCBI's taxonomy places the organism in Eukaryota, Metazoa, Chordata, Actinopteri, Cypriniformes, Cyprinidae.